GUGGCGGGUGGUGGAGGUCGGCGACGGGCAGGUCAGCGGUCUGCCCGCGGGGACGGACCACCGGCCGCUGUUCGAGGCGCUGGUCACCGCG
This 91-nucleotide transfer RNA is filed under the name Streptomyces caniferus. RNAcentral's name for it is "tRNA-Ala". Lineage: Bacteria; Bacillati; Actinomycetota; Actinomycetes; Kitasatosporales; Streptomycetaceae. The record is from RNAcentral.